This 72-nucleotide transfer RNA is filed under the name Pangasianodon gigas (Mekong giant catfish). RNAcentral describes it as "tRNA-Glu". It matches the Rfam family "tRNA". From Rfam's summary of the family: Transfer RNA (tRNA) molecules are approximately 80 nucleotides in length. Their secondary structure includes four short double-helical elements and three loops (D, anti-codon, and T loops). The record is from RNAcentral. Lineage: Eukaryota; Metazoa; Chordata; Actinopteri; Siluriformes; Pangasiidae.
UCUCUGGAGGACUAGUGGUUAGGCCUCGGUGCUCUCACCGCCGCGGCACAGGUUCGAUUCCCGGCCAGAGAA